RNAcentral lists this ribosomal RNA (253 nucleotides) under uncultured bacterium. RNAcentral's name for it is "partial 16S ribosomal RNA". It matches the Rfam family "Bacterial small subunit ribosomal RNA", at positions 524 to 776 of the family's 1533-position model. The record is from RNAcentral.
UACGUAGGGUGCAAGCGUUAAUCGGAAUUACUGGGCGUAAAGCGUGCGCAGGCGGUGAUGUAAGACAGAUGUGAAAUCCCCGGGCUCAACCUGGGAACUGCAUUUGUGACUGCAUCGCUGGAGUGCGGCAGAGGGGGAUGGAAUUCCGCGUGUAGCAGUGAAAUGCGUAGAUAUGCGGAGGAAUACCGAUGGCGAAGGCAGCCCCCUGGGAUAACACUGACGCUCAUGCACGAAAGCGUGGGGAGCAAACAGG